CCAAAAGUGAUCUUGGCUGCCGUGCCCCGGUCAUUGGUAGUGCAGGGAAAGGAUUCGGAAAGACGGGCUCCGAGCUCGGGGCAUCUGGCCUGGAGCUUUCCUACACUUGUGUCUUUCUCUGCAGCCUUACAGAAGUGUGGGUGGCAGCUUUCUGGAAGCUGCACAAGUCAGGGCUGGGUCUUCGCAACUUGGUGUUCUGUUUCUAGAAACUUGGGGUAUUUGCAUAUGCUAGGUCAGCACAGAUUUCCAAAGGAUCCCUAGGAUUGUCACGUGUGCUCAACAGUCCUCGGCUUUCCAGAAGAUGCUGGAACAGGGCCCUUGAAGAUGUUUGUGGACACCAGAGG
RNAcentral lists this long non-coding RNA (344 nucleotides) under Mus caroli (Ryukyu mouse). Its description in RNAcentral is "lncRNA (MGP_CAROLIEiJ_G0013616.1)". Lineage: Eukaryota; Metazoa; Chordata; Mammalia; Rodentia; Muridae. The record is from RNAcentral.